UACGUAGGGCGCAAGCGUUGUCCGGAAUUAUUGGGCGUAAAGAGCUCGUAGGCGGCUUGUCACGUCGACUGUGAAAACCCGGGGCUCAACUCCGGGCCUGCAGUCGAUACGGGCUGGCUUGAGUGCGGUAGGGGAGACUGGAAUUCCUGGUGUAGCGGUGAAAUGCGCAGAUAUCAGGAGGAACACCGGUGGCGAAGGCGGGUCUCUGGGCCGAUACUGACGCUGAGGAGCGAAAGCGUGGGGAGCGAACAGG
Molecule: ribosomal RNA, 253 nt
Filed under: uncultured bacterium
Lineage: Bacteria
Description: partial 16S ribosomal RNA
Rfam family: Bacterial small subunit ribosomal RNA
Source: RNAcentral